This 425-nucleotide ribosomal RNA is filed under the name uncultured bacterium. RNAcentral describes it as "partial 16S ribosomal RNA". It matches the Rfam family "Bacterial small subunit ribosomal RNA", at positions 354 to 796 of the family's 1533-position model. The record is from RNAcentral.
GUGGGGAAUCUUAGACAAUGGGCGCAAGCCUGAUCUAGCCAUGCCGCGUGAGUGAUGAAGGCCCUAGGGUUGUAAAGCUCUUUCAGCUGGGAAGAUAAUGACGGUACCAGCAGAAGAAGCCCCGGCUAACUCCGUGCCAGCAGCCGCGGUAAUACGGAGGGGGCUAGCGUUGUUCGGAAUUACUGGGCGUAAAGCGCGCGUAGGCGGACUGAAAAGUUGGGGGUGAAAUCCCGGGGCUCAACCUCGGAACUGCCUUCAAAACUAUCAGUCUGGAGUUCGAGAGAGGUGAGUGGAAUUCCGAGUGUAGAGGUGAAAUUCGUAGAUAUUCGGAGGAACACCAGUGGCGAAGGCGGCUCACUGGCUCGAUACUGACGCUGAGGUGCGAAAGCGUGGGGAGCAAACAGGAUUAGAAACCCCUGUAGUCC